Long non-coding RNA from Drosophila grimshawi, 538 nucleotides. RefSeq lists it as uncharacterized. The record is from RefSeq and is a predicted model, not a curated record. The transcript is spliced from 3 exons. NCBI's taxonomy places the organism in Eukaryota, Metazoa, Arthropoda, Insecta, Diptera, Drosophilidae.
GAGCAAUUUUGAAAUUUAUAAUGAAAUUACGAAGUCAGCAGAUGGACUCCGGUCUGCAAGCGUUCUUCAAGUGUGCAUCAGUGCUGGCCAUCUUGAUCUCUCUUGGUCUUGGUUUGAGGCCAACAAAUCGAACGGAUGACGGUGCCAGUCCUAAGCAUAAUAAUAAUGAUCAUAACGACAUUGUGCAUAAAGUGGAAUUCUCGAAUCAAAAUCAGCUCAUUACGGAGGCUAAUGUAAGCACAACAAAGCCAUUCUGCGAGAUUUAUUCAACAGCUUUAAGUGGUCGGGAUGAAGGAGGAGCAGCAGCUGGAGGAGGAGGAAGAUGAUGCAGCGCUAAUGACAUUAUGCACGAUUGCCUUAAAGGAAAAGACAGAAUCAGAAUCGAAUUCAGAUUUUGUUAACGAAUCAAUGCAGUCAAAAGAAGUCGACUCUGAAGCGGUGUGAAAAGGCUUUCAUUUCAAACGCAAACAAUCGCUGCGAGUAGGAAUUGAAAUUAAUUUCAUGUAUCAUCAUUAAUCAAAACACUCGCUCGCGAGCA